GCCCUCGUAGCUCAGGGGUAGAGCACGUCCUUGGUAAGGACGGGGUCACGAGUUCAAAUCUCGUCGAGGGCUCCA
RNAcentral lists this transfer RNA (75 nucleotides) under Acidobacteriota bacterium. RNAcentral describes it as "Acidobacteria bacterium (rhizosphere metagenome) tRNA-Thr". It matches the Rfam family "tRNA". From Rfam's summary of the family: Transfer RNA (tRNA) molecules are approximately 80 nucleotides in length. Their secondary structure includes four short double-helical elements and three loops (D, anti-codon, and T loops). Further hydrogen bonds mediate the characteristic L-shaped molecular structure. tRNAs have two regions of fundamental functional importance: the anti-codon, which is responsible for specific mRNA codon recognition, and the 3' end, to which the tRNAs corresponding amino acid is attached (by aminoacyl-tRNA synthetases). tRNAs cope with the degeneracy of the genetic code in two manners: having more than one tRNA (with a specific anti-codon) for a particular amino acid; and 'wobble' base-pairing, i.e. permitting non-standard base-pairing at the 3rd anti-codon position. The record is from RNAcentral. RNAcentral also lists the same sequence under 5 other names. Lineage: Bacteria; Pseudomonadati; Acidobacteriota.